RNAcentral lists this ribosomal RNA (516 nucleotides) under Escherichia coli. RNAcentral's name for it is "bacterial SSU rRNA". It matches the Rfam family "Bacterial small subunit ribosomal RNA", at positions 1010 to 1526 of the family's 1533-position model. The record is from RNAcentral. Lineage: Bacteria; Pseudomonadati; Pseudomonadota; Gammaproteobacteria; Enterobacterales; Enterobacteriaceae. RNAcentral also lists the same sequence under 2 other names.
GAAUGUGCCUUCGGGAACCGUGAGACAGGUGCUGCAUGGCUGUCGUCAGCUCGUGUUGUGAAAUGUUGGGUUAAGUCCCGCAACGAGCGCAACCCUUAUCCUUUGUUGCCAGCGGUCCGGCCGGGAACUCAAAGGAGACUGCCAGUGAUAAACUGGAGGAAGGUGGGGAUGACGUCAAGUCAUCAUGGCCCUUACGACCAGGGCUACACACGUGCUACAAUGGCGCAUACAAAGAGAAGCGACCUCGCGAGAGCAAGCGGACCUCAUAAAGUGCGUCGUAGUCCGGAUUGGAGUCUGCAACUCGACUCCAUGAAGUCGGAAUCGCUAGUAAUCGUGGAUCAGAAUGCCACGGUGAAUACGUUCCCGGGCCUUGUACACACCGCCCGUCACACCAUGGGAGUGGGUUGCAAAAGAAGUAGGUAGCUUAACCUUCGGGAGGGCGCUUACCACUUUGUGAUUCAUGACUGGGGUGAAGUCGUAACAAGGUAACCGUAGGGGAACCUGCGGUUGGAUCAC